GAGUUAGGCCAUUUCAGAAUGUCUAUUUAUAAUUUUUUCAAUUAAUCAUUCAUUCAUUCAGUCAGGCAGUCAAUCAGUCACUCAAUUGACAUAGAUCAUACAUGUUAAGACUACCGUGUUCACAUUUCUUUUUUAAAUGUGUAGGAUGUUAUGGAAAGAAAGCUGAGCCAAAACCGCAGCCAACAUUUGACAAAAUGAAUAUCUGUCCAUUUUUAGCACAAAAAAAAAACCUGUGAGAGCUCUGUUUGUUGCAUGGAACCUGUAAGACAACUGUCACUAAAAAGGAAGCUCUUGAAAUCUUUUUUGUUUUGCAAGUACAGGAAUCCACACUCAAUGGUAAUCAAAAGCCAGUGAAAGAGGAAAAACAAUAACCUACAGGUUUCAGUCUGGAUCUUCUGAUGUAAUAAAUUAUCUGAAAACCAAUAAAUUAAAUUAUACUAUCAGAAAGGUCUUAGUAUGUUAGUUCUUAAAACAACAAGUAACAAGUGAAUAUUAGAAAGGACAAAAACAGAUGAAAUUACUUUUCCUCAUAGAAAAUUAUGCAAAGAGAACUGAAAGUUUUGGUUUUCUUUUUUACAUGCAGUGAAACUGAGUUGUGGAACAGUCUGUCCUGAACACAUUCUCAUAGAAAUGGCAAUAUCAAAGUUAUGUGCUAAUGACAUUACAGUGCCACCAGUUAACUUACUGCUUUUCUCCCUUCCACAAGCAGGUUCGUCUCUCCUUCCUAACCCAAACAGUCACAUUUGCCAGCUGCCAAGCAACUACUGAAAAUCUAAGAAUGCUCAAAUGAUAAUUACUGAAGCAUCAUGAUACGUAUCAUUCACAAUAUAAACAUUUUGGCCUCCUUGACCUCAAAAUAAAGGUACAUCAUGCACUGCAGGGAAUCACAUCAAGUUACAGGUAUUACACAUCCAUCAGUGCAGAGGAAGGAAGUCAGGGUAGGGGCAGGGGUAAGGAGAAUUUAUAUUUUUAUACUAUUCCAUGGUAUAUUUCACAACAAGUAGCUAUUUACUCCAAAACUACAUUUUCAAAAAGUAGUACCUAUAAUAUGCCAUACAACGAGGUAAUUUUUCCUUCAACUUCACCUUCCAUACCAAAUGGGGGUUAAGGAGCAGAGAAAGUGCAGCUUGUAAGUUUAGAGAAUACUGGAGGAAAAAUAUGCAAGGAAAAUCUCUCUUCAAAUUAUCUCUUGCUUUGCUCAAAAAAAAUAACUGUACCAUUGUAUUUGCAUAAUUUUCAAUCAUGUCAGAUAUAAUAACUAAACUGUUAUUUUCUUACAGUUUUCAAAAAGAUGAAAAAAUAAAAUUCCUAAUUAGUAAAAUAGUAAACCAUAAACCCAUCACAUUAUUAAUAAAUUUUUCCUAGAGUAUGGAAGGUGCUUGUUAUACCAGAACAUGCCCUCUAUAAAUGCAAAAGAAACAAGCCUCAGAGAUUUCGAUUCAGUAAGGUAUUUGGGGAUUGCUCCCAAUUUGGAAUUCAAAGCUGUGUACUAGAACAUAAAAUAUGCAUGCCAUUAUUCUUUUCAGAAAUUUGUUAUUAAGUGACCAGGUAAAAGAAAUUAAAUGUAAUAUAAUUUCAGUUACAUUGUGGUAAAACUGCCAUCAUAGAUCUAGAUUUUUGUGUAUGAUAUUACAAUUUUAUCUUAAAAUAAAAGACUGCAUUUUUUGUAAAUUCAAAAAGUUCAUUAUGCCAAUGAAAUUUGUUUCCAACACUAGACAUAUAUAUACAGUACACAUGUAAGGACAUGUGUAUAUCAAAAUCAUUGAGAAAUAAGUCUUUAGGGGUUACUGCAUACAUUUGUAAUACUUAAUAAGCAAAUAAAAGUGGAAGAAUAAUUACACAGACUAUAAAUAGAUACAAAAAAUGUUAUAAAAGGAAAACCCAAUAACUUUUAGAAUCUAGAUAUAUGAUAUGCUGCAAGACUGAGACUUGUAAGAGCUUCUGCAAAAUAGAGUUGCUUUUGCUUAUAAAAGCCAAAUACAUAGCAAAAAAGUCAGUUCUGGUGUGGUUCCCCUAUGCAAUUUUAAAAAUGAUUAUUAAAAAAAUCUCUAAUUUCCUUCACCAUGUACAGUUAAUU
Molecule: long non-coding RNA, 2077 nt
Organism: Corapipo altera (White-ruffed manakin)
Lineage: Eukaryota; Metazoa; Chordata; Aves; Passeriformes; Pipridae
Exons: 3
Source: RefSeq, a predicted model, not a curated record